RNAcentral lists this ribosomal RNA (310 nucleotides) under uncultured eukaryote. RNAcentral's name for it is "partial 18S ribosomal RNA". It matches the Rfam family "Eukaryotic small subunit ribosomal RNA", at positions 1470 to 1796 of the family's 1831-position model. The record is from RNAcentral.
CCCUUAGAUGUCCUGGGCCGCACGCGCGUUACACUGAUGCAUUCAACGAGCUUAUAACCUUGGCCGAGAGGCCUGGGCAAUCUUGUUAACGUGCAUCGUGAUAGGGAUAGAUUAUUGAAAUUAUUAAUCUUGAACGAGGAAUUCCUAGUAAACGCAGAUCAUCAAUCUGCAUUGAUUACGUCCCUGCCCUUUGUACACACCGCCCGUCGCUACUACCGAUUGAAUGGUUUAGUGAGGCCUUCGGAUCCGCGACUCGUUUGUGGAGAAGUUGGACAAACUCAGUCAUUUAGAGGAAGUAAAAGUCGUAACA